This 309-nucleotide unclassified non-coding RNA is filed under the name uncultured Acremonium. Its description in RNAcentral is "sequence contains ITS1". The stretch from base 1 to 105 matches the Rfam family "5.8S ribosomal RNA", at positions 50 to 154 of the family's 154-position model. The record is from RNAcentral. Lineage: Eukaryota; Fungi; Ascomycota.
AAAAUGCGAUAAGUAAUGUGAAUUGCAGAAUUCAGUGAAUCAUCGAAUCUUUGAACGCACAUUGCGCCCGCCAGUACUCUGGCGGGCAUGCCUGUCUGAGCGUCAUUUCAACCCUCAGGACCCGUUCGCGGGACCUGGCGUUGGGGAUCAGCCCUCCGGGGCUGGCCCUGAAAUCUAGUGGCGGUCCUCACGCGACCUCCUCUGUGCAGUAGUAAUACCUCGCAGCUGGAAAGCGUAAGGGCCACGCCGUAAAACCCCCUACUUCUCAAGGUUGACCUCAGAUCAGGUAGGAAUACCCGCUGAACUUAA